CCCCGCCGCCGCGCAGACGCCCACGGAGGCACGCAGAGCGCGUGCGCCGCAGCGCCCCGCCCGCUCGGUGUGUGACGUGAGUGGUGAUGCCGUUCCAGUGGGAAACGGUUAGGCUGGCGUUUCGUUGAGGUGCCGGCCUUGGGGCGGCUUUGCUGGUAAAAGUUACUCACUCAGCGUGUGCCGUGUGGGCUGAAACACUGCCUGACAGGGACGGGGCCUGGUCUGUUGGAAGCAGCAUGCAGCGCAACGUGUCUACCUGAGCCGUCAGCUUUGUGCCACGCAGCUGGAAAGAUAGGGUCAUAGCAUAGGACUGUGACAUUGUUUAGUUGCCCUCAGUUCCUAUGCUGAAGCUAGUAUCAUACCACUGAAUCUUGGCUAAUAAAUUCUCGUUUAAUUGCGACACAAUCCCAACGCAAAAGAACUGCAAAUUAAACGCCCCACAACAGAAGCCGUUCAGUUUCUGGUACUGAUUACCAGGUUGGAGUCUCAUCUGAGAAGGUGGAGCGAUCGCAAGUCUGUACGUCACUGCGGUGAUCCAGUGGGAGGAGGCAGCCUGCCCGGGCCCAUCAGCCGUCGAUCUGGAUUUCCUCCUGUGCGCAGGCGAUUGGCCACUCAGUGCAUGGUUCUCUUGGGUGUGACUGCAAACCCUGCUUAGUUCUGUGAAAGUCACAGAGAGCCCAGAAUUGCUACGUGCAGCAAGAGGUAACCCAAUAGUGCAGAGAAGACACGGGAGUUAUGACCAGCAACGUGUCAAAAAAAAAUCUGCCUGCAUGUUUCUGUAUUGGGUCUGUUUGGGAUGGAGUCCCUUCUCAAAAAUAAAACAUUAGGUGAUGUACAAAGUGGUCAUCUCUUGUUGGAGGAUGAAAGUUGCUAAAAACAGCAAGCUUACAAUUGGAAAGUGUACUUGCAAACCUGGAUCUGGUUAUAGAAAUGACAUUAUUGAUUAUAUAGUGUCAUUUCCUGAUAAUUUGGCUCUUUAUUAGUCUUUUGUUUAUCUUUUGAGUGUAUUGUAUUUGAAUGAGUGGAAUAGGAAACUUCUUCUCGAUAGUUUCCUAUUCCUGCUUUUCUUUUCACUUCUUUGGACGGUAGAUGAUCCACAACUGAUGGCUUUUUCCAGAAACAUUUUGCAGGUGUAUUUCUCACAGUGCAAACUAGGACCUUCUGGAAAGCACUUCAUAAGGGAGUUUACCUCAGAAAUAUAGUUUUUUAUCCGCUUUUCCCUUGAAGAAUCACAGAGCAGCUGAGGCUGGCCGGGCCCUCUGGAAACACCUGGCCCAACCUCUGCUCUAGCAAGGUCACCCAGGGCAGGGUCACGUGCCCUGAGCCACGUCAGGAUGGCUUUUGGACAUCUCUGAGGACAAGAAUCCACAGCCUCUAUAGGCAGCCUAUGCCAGCACUCCAGCACCCACACAGUACCAGAAUGCUUCCUGGUGUUCAGAAGGAACCUUCUGCAUCCAGUUUAUGCCCAUUGCCUCUUGACCUGGCACUGGCACCACUAAAAAGAGGCAGGCCCCUUCCUCUCUGCACCCACACCUCAGUUAUUUGCAUACAUUGAUGAGACUCCUCUGAGCCUGUCUGUGACUGGGACAAAGUACUGAAGAAGGGCUGAAGAAGGCCCUGCUGCCUAGUCAGUGACUAAGCUGACAUAUCUAUUCAUCAAAAAUCUCUGAUGCCACUUUUGCUACUUUCUAAUGAUUACAA
This is a long non-coding RNA of Phasianus colchicus (ring-necked pheasant), 1701 nucleotides long. RefSeq lists it as uncharacterized. Lineage: Eukaryota; Metazoa; Chordata; Aves; Galliformes; Phasianidae. The record is from RefSeq and is a predicted model, not a curated record.